AGCGAACGCUGGCGGCAGGCCUAACACAUGCAAGUCGAACGGACCCUUCGGGGUUAGUGGCGGACGGGUGAGUAACACGUGGGAACGUGCCUUUAGGUUCGGAAUAGCUCCUGGAAACGGGUGGUAAUGCCGAAUGUGCCCUUCGGGGGAAAGAUUUAUCGCCUUUAGAGCGGCCCGCGUCUGAUUAGCUAGUUGGUGAGGUAACGGCUCACCAAGGCGACGAUCAGUAGCUGGUCUGAGAGGAUGACCAGCCACACUGGGACUGAGACACGGCCCAGACUCCUACGGGAGGCGGGCGGGGGGAAUCUUGCGAAAGGGGAAAACGCCUGACGCACCCAUGCCGCGUGAAUAAUGAAGUUCUAAGGAUUGAAAAAUUUUUUCCCCGGGGACGAUAAUGAGGGUACCCGAAAAAGAGGCCCGGGCAAACUUGGGG
This 433-nucleotide ribosomal RNA is filed under the name uncultured bacterium. RNAcentral describes it as "partial 16S ribosomal RNA". It matches the Rfam family "Bacterial small subunit ribosomal RNA", at positions 29 to 507 of the family's 1533-position model. The record is from RNAcentral.